UACGUAGGGCGCAAGCGUUGUCCGGAAUUAUUGGGCGUAAAGAGCUCGUAGGCGGCCUGUCGCGUCUGCUGUGAAAUCCCGGGGCUUAACCCCGGGCGUGCAGUGGAUACGGGCUGGCUGGAGGCAGGCAGGGGAGAACGGAAUUCCCGGUGUAGCGGUGAAAUGCGCAGAUAUCGGGAGGAACACCGGUGGCGAAGGCGACUUCCUGGCCUGUUCUUGACGCUGAGGCGCGAAAGCUAGGGGAGCAAACGGG
Molecule: ribosomal RNA, 253 nt
Filed under: uncultured bacterium
Lineage: Bacteria
Description: partial 16S ribosomal RNA
Rfam family: Bacterial small subunit ribosomal RNA
Source: RNAcentral